UGGGCUAUCGGCACCAACUCCAUAUUAUAUUGGAGAAGAGAGCUCCAGAGAGUGUCAUUUGUGGAGAGAUUUAUAUUCCAUCUCCCACAUCUCUAAAUUUCUCCUCAUAUAAUUUUUGUUGCAGCCUUUCACAUAGCUAUGCUGAGUAAAAGAACCCAUCCCAUGAUCGGAAGAUUAUCAGAAUUAUUGGUUUCCGGCAACCCGUUAGGAUUCUUGGAUGUUUCCACUAGUCCAAGUCCAAGAAGUCCGUUGGAGUACAGAAUUCAAUCACCUAGAGGUCUAAAGAAUUAUGAUCUUGGUGGGGUUGGAUUGGGUAUUGUUGCUGCCCUUGAGAAGUCUAGAAGUGAUGGAGGACAUGAAAUUUUAGCAAAAUAUGCAAUUUGCAGUCCAAAUAUGAAUAGGUCGGAUCCUAUUCCUGUUAAAAAAUGUGAGAGGUGCAACUGUGGUGUCAAGGAAAUGGAGAUUGAGAGCUUGGAGGAUUAUACUUAUGUCACAAGCCAUGGACCUGACAAGUCCUUGACUAAAGUGUAUUAUGAUGAUGGAAAUAAAAAAGGGCGCGAUAGAAUUGGUGUUGAUGUUGUUUCUAUACCUAGAGAAUCGCCGGCGAGAUUUGUCGAUGAGUUUGCUAUGUAUCCCACUUCAGAAUUUCUCAGCUCUUGUCACUUGUGCAGGAAAAGGCUCCAUGGCAAAGACAUAUAUAUGUACAGGUAUAAUACAACUUGUAGUUCUCAUCUUUCUUGCUUAUAUUGGAAUUUUGAUUAUAUUAUGACGAGGCCAAAGGAGAUGCUCCUCAUGCUGGUGUUUCUUGAUUUGGUACGAACAAGUAGGAGAUUUUAAUGUUUUGCAUUGGAUUUUUUUACAGGGGAGAAAAAGCUUUCUGUAGCAUGGAGUGCAGAUCAAGACAAAUAAUGAUGGAUGAACGCAAAGAACAGUGCAGAUCAGAGAUUCCCAGAUCUGCAGAUGUUACAAGCUCACCUUAUACAACGAGCCCCAUCUUCUCAACUGGAAUUCUUGCCAUUUGAACUUAUAAAAUCAUAUGUUUUCAUGGCUGAAACACCAGUAAUCACCCACUGCUAUACCUCCAACAUAAUUAUAUAGAUUUAUAUAUAGUAAUCAUGUAUACAUAUGAGAAUUUAUCGGCUCAAUAUUGAA
Molecule: unclassified non-coding RNA, 1152 nt
Filed under: Hevea brasiliensis (rubber tree)
Lineage: Eukaryota; Viridiplantae; Streptophyta; Magnoliopsida; Malpighiales; Euphorbiaceae
Source: RNAcentral